Molecule: transfer RNA, 74 nt
Filed under: Tupaia belangeri chinensis (Chinese tree shrew)
Lineage: Eukaryota; Metazoa; Chordata; Mammalia; Scandentia; Tupaiidae
Description: Tupaia chinensis (Chinese tree shrew) tRNA
Rfam family: tRNA
About the family: Transfer RNA (tRNA) molecules are approximately 80 nucleotides in length. Their secondary structure includes four short double-helical elements and three loops (D, anti-codon, and T loops). Further hydrogen bonds mediate the characteristic L-shaped molecular structure. tRNAs have two regions of fundamental functional importance: the anti-codon, which is responsible for specific mRNA codon recognition, and the 3' end, to which the tRNAs corresponding amino acid is attached (by aminoacyl-tRNA synthetases). tRNAs cope with the degeneracy of the genetic code in two manners: having more than one tRNA (with a specific anti-codon) for a particular amino acid; and 'wobble' base-pairing, i.e. permitting non-standard base-pairing at the 3rd anti-codon position.
Source: Rfam by way of RNAcentral
GGUGCCAUAGCUUAGUUGGUUAAAGCGCCUGUCUAGUAAACAGGAGAUCUUGGGUUCGAAUCUCAGCAGUGCCU